Long non-coding RNA from Argiope bruennichi, 3466 nucleotides. RefSeq lists it as uncharacterized. The record is from RefSeq and is a predicted model, not a curated record. Lineage: Eukaryota; Metazoa; Arthropoda; Arachnida; Araneae; Araneidae. The transcript is spliced from 5 exons.
AAUAGCAGCUAUCUGGAUGGAGAGGAAAAUAUUUUCUCAAUUUUGGACAGGAUUCAAAUCGGUGAUUUAUGCUCCUUUUGUCGUAUUGAAAUGGAUUCAUACCGGUGUUCAUAGGCUAGACCGCUCAUUAUCGAUGCCAUUUUGCUUGAUAAAGGCACUCCGUCAGUCAUCAGUAGUACUGAUUUCUUAGUUUCAGGUCUAUGCCAUACUUCUACAUUAGUUAUGCUGGAUGUGAGGAAGUACUCUCAAGAUGAUACGGUGAAUUAAUUGUAUUAGAAGUUCAAGGACACGAUGUUCACAUGUUUGACCGAAAUGAUCACUGUCCAACAGAUAUUAUCUGGAGCCUUUAGCAAGAGUAUAUCGGAAUUUUGAAUCUGAGGAGUAUAUUUUGGACAAUGCUGAAAACAUAUGGUCUUCAAUACGAAAACUUUUCGGAACUUAAAUAAUCUACACAGUUUAUUGAAAGCGAAAGAAAUGCUUAAAAUUUUUACAUAUUCCACACAAAUGUCUUCUAAGCAAUGAGAGCUCCAGAAUUACGUGAUUUCAUAUUUAUAGUAUGUGAAAGGAGAUAAAAGCCUUGACGAUUGACGUUUUCAUAAAUGAACAGCGAUAAAUACUCAUUUGAAUGAUUUCUUGGAAUAAUAGUAUCUAGAACUUUAAAUAUAGCAUCAACUACUUUAUACCAGAAAGUUUUUUUUAUGGAUUUCUUUGCUUCCAUUCAAAAGAGAGAACGUCAUAUAAAACAAGAGGCAAAAAUCGUCUGCAGUCGAUACAAAAGCAUCUCUCUACAAAGAGCAAUUGACAUCAUUUAUUUGCACAAUGGCAUUUCAUAUUUGUCUUGAAUGCCUUUGCAUCUCUUGCAACACAUUCCUUGCAUAUAUCUAGAUAUCCAAGGAAGAACGAUUGACAAAUGAAAUCGAUAAAAGCAUGCCGACCGCUAUCUAUAGUAAUAUAAUUUUCUGGAUUCCAUACACACGCCAUCAAGACACAAAUUCCGUCUGAUGCGGAGGAUGUUCUCUUAAGGUGACAUCGAAAAAUUAGUAAUUAAAAGAUAUUGGCAUGUUUUGACGGAAGGGAUCACGGCACAACAGAACAUCCAGAGCCUUAAUCAAGCGCAUAUUUGAAUUCGGAGUCUUUACAAUUAUGGACGAAGAUCCAACGUACGCAAUUGAGUUUGUAAAAAAUUUAUAAAUAUUGAACCAAGCCCAAAAUAUAAAUUUAUUACUAAAAAUUUAUGAAUAUAUAAAUGUAAAUGUGAUUACGUAUAAGGUCAACAUUAUAUGAGAUUACCAAUACAUCUUUAUCCUAUUUUAAUAACAGGAUAAUGAAUAUUUAGAUAUUUUUGUACAAUACUUUUGACAAGUGCAGAAAUUCUUUAUGAACUUGGUAAAGCUUGAAAUGCUUGGAAUAUUUUCAAUUCAAAACAAGUACUUGGCAUAUCAAUUAUUAUUUAUUGUUUAAAAUUUUUUAUUCGUAUAUCAACUCAACAAAUUUAACAUUAAAAUAUUGGUGUAUAUUAAUUUCUUUCAAACGUGAUAGUUUCUACUUUCUUUUUAAAAAUGCUUAUUUCUAAAAAAUCUAAAUUGGAGAAACAUUGUUUAUAUGCUUAGUUUAAAUUUUAUAGUAUAAUAGAUUUUCUAGUAAUUAAAACUGUUUCUAACAAGACUGAUUCGAUUUUUUUCACUUAAUCCCUUGCCUGCCGCAGGCGUAUAUAUACGUCUGCCUAAGUCAAUGUGUUAACUGCCCCUGUCGUAUAUUUACGUCUCGCAAAUAUAUACAUAUAUAUAUUCGUGGCACUGGGGACCGAAUCUUGUAAGUUAUCCUCGGUAGGCAAGGGGUUAGUUAAAUUCUUAUAUUAAAUCAAUAAGUUAGUUGGCAAGCAGAACUCUCAUUGACCCAGCAAUAAAGGCAGGAAUUGCAACUAUUGCUACAGAACUAUAAUUAUUAUAAAAUAAUAACUAAUUAUUUAACUUUCAUGCGGCAUUCCUCCAUCUUUGUCAGUGGUGAAUGCAUCUUUAUAAUGUUUGAUUUGUUAAGAUUAUUUUUCGUCGCCGAUUGCCGUAACACAACUCUAAAUAUGUGACUAUUUUUAUUAUUGUCAAUCGAUUACUGUUAUUUGCUACGUGUCAUCACAAUUGUUUGCAGUGUAUUUUUCAACUUACCAACAAAUACUAUACAAAUUGUAGUUCUAAGUUUUUGUUUUGUACUGAAUAUCAAUGCUAGUAAGAGCAAUCGCAUUUUCUUUGUGUCGUGAACUUCACUUUAUGAUUAUGAAAUGGGUUGUACUAGUGAUUAUGAAAUCAGAGUACUAUAUUAAAAUAUGCAGAUAAGAUUUCUUUUAUGCUUAAUUUCCUUUAUAUGGUUUUAAGAUCUCUAAAUUUUCAAUCAACAUUAUGGUCUCGAAGCAAACUGGACUCUUAAAACUUGAUAUAAUAAAUACAUGAUACAUAUUUUUAUGUUCACUUUAAAAUAUACCAAGAAAAAGAAAAUCAAGGAAAGGCGGAAUGCCUCUAUACUGUGUGAAAGAUAAAGCAAAAAACUACAUUGUCAACAUACAUGUUUGCCUUCUUAAAGAUUCUUUAAAAUAAUUUAGAAAAUAUUUUAUAAAUAUUCCUCAACCAUAAAUCAAGUGUUUGCGCACAUGUAACUAAUUGUAUUUUGAUUUGAAAAAAUAUUUUAAGCUUAUAUUUUUUAAUUUGAUAAUGCUAGAAUAUUGGAAUCCUAAUUAUUCUAGAACUAUGGGAUACAGUAGAUUGUUUUCUUUGAUUAUCUUUUCAUUAACUUUCACUUCUGAAAAUGUCAUAAAGUGCUCAGCAUUAAUUACUCCGGAAUCGAAAUUUAAAGACGUGGUAUCAAAGCUCAUUAACUUAAAUUUAAUUGCCCUGCUUUCAGAAAAAAUUCACCAUAUUCUAUAGAUAUAUUAAAUUCUGUUUGUUGCAUCCAUUUGAAGUGACUUAUUAAACUAAGAUUUUACUCUCGUUAAAUAUAUUUAAAGUAAUAAAAUUAGUAAUAAUUAUUUUGGAUGGAAAAUUUAGUAUUUAUCUUACAAUAUCUCCUCAUUUCGGCUUUAAAUUUUACUAUGUACAUCCGCGAACAAAGGAUAUUUUGGUUGGCUCGGCCGGCCAGCCAAUCAAAAUAUCCUAUGAUUCUUAAAAAGCAUUGGAUCACUGUGCUUGAUCACCACGGCGAUCAAUAUGCUUUUAAAGAAAAUUGACGCUCUCGCGUGAUUAGUGUGAUUUAAAAUCCAUAAAAAUCUACCCGAAUAAAAUCGCAUUUAUUGAGGGGAAAAAGUGAAUGAAUGCAAUGAAUGUUAAAUGUAGAGUAGAUAAGGGUUUUUUUUUUUUUUUUUUUUUUUUUUCUCAAUAUUACGAGAAAAUUAGAUUCUGAUUUAUCAACUUUCCAGAAGUAUUAAAUUUCCUAAACAUUUUUCCGAAUCAUUUAAAAAAAAAAAAUUCACUUUCACUUA